GUGAUGUGGGGUCCAGGCGCGGGGGUAAGACGAAGUGGGGAAAACAUGUUGGGAAGUAGUGUGCUUGAAGGGUGCGUAGGCGGUAAUCGAAGUAGGGGGGGAAAGGCCGCGGCUCAACCGAGGAAUGGCGCCCUAAACUGGAUGGCUGGAGGGAGAUAGGGGUGUGUGUGACUUCCGGUGGAGCGGUGAAAUGUGUUGAUAUCGGAAGGAGCGCCGGUGGCGAAAGCGACACACUGGGUCUCAACUGACGCUGAGGCACGAAAGCCAGGGGAGCAAACGGGAUUAGAUACCCCGGUAGUC
Molecule: ribosomal RNA, 300 nt
Filed under: uncultured Pyrolobus sp.
Lineage: Archaea; Thermoproteati; Thermoproteota; Thermoprotei; Desulfurococcales; Pyrodictiaceae
Description: bacterial SSU rRNA
Rfam family: Bacterial small subunit ribosomal RNA (bases 52-300)
Source: RNAcentral